Molecule: microRNA precursor, 93 nt
Filed under: Canis lupus dingo (dingo)
Lineage: Eukaryota; Metazoa; Chordata; Mammalia; Carnivora; Canidae
Description: mir-8799 microRNA precursor family
Rfam family: mir-8799 microRNA precursor family
Source: Rfam by way of RNAcentral
GGGGGGAGGCCGGAUCCUGGGCUGUGUCCCCGGCGCCCUGGGCUCUGGGGCCUGCGCUGCUGGAAUCGUACUCCCAGGGCCGCACAGUCCCCU